This is a microRNA precursor of Oryza sativa Indica Group (long-grained rice), 205 nucleotides long. It matches the Rfam family "MIR812 microRNA precursor family". Lineage: Eukaryota; Viridiplantae; Streptophyta; Magnoliopsida; Poales; Poaceae. The record is from Rfam.
AAAGACCGCACUUUUGCAUUGUUUAUGUCCAACGUUUGACUAUCCGUUUUAUUUAAAAAAAUAUAUGAUUACUAUUUUUAUUGUUGUUAGAUGAUAAAACAUGAAUAAUACUUUAUGUGUGACUAAUUUUUAGAAAAUCCCUUUAAAUUUUUUAAAUAAGACGGACAGUCAAACGUUUGAUAAAAAAUUCACAACUGUAUUUAAA